Knipowitschia caucasica is the source of this 949-nucleotide non-coding RNA. Lineage: Eukaryota; Metazoa; Chordata; Actinopteri; Gobiiformes; Gobiidae. The record is from the annotation of a GenBank genome assembly.
AAAAGCUUGGUCCUGACUUUACCAUCGACUAUAAUCAAAUUUAUACAUGCAAGUAUCCGCACCCCUGUGAGAAUGCCCUGCAUUUUUCCCUAACAAAAAGAAGGAGCUGGAGUUAGGCACGCCACAAGGCAGCCCACGAUUCCUUGCUUAGCCACACCCCCAAGGGAGCUCAGCAGUAAUAAACAUUAAGCCAUGAGUGAAAGCUUGACUUAGUUAAGAUUAAGAGGGCCGGUAAAACUCGUGCCAGCCACCGCGGUUAUACGAGAGGCCCAAGUUGAUAGAUGCCGGCGUAAAAUGUGGUUAAUUUAUAGUAUUGCACUAAAGCAAAACACCUUCUAAGCUGUUAUAUGCUCUCGAAGAUAGGAGGCCCUUUUACGAAAGUAGCUUUAAAUGAUAUGACCCCACGAAAGCUAGGGAACAAACUGGGAUUAGAUACCCCACUAUGCCUAGCCUUAAACUAAAAUGACUAACCUACAACACCUCGCUUGCCAGGGAACUACGAGCCCCAGCUUAAAACCCAAAGGACUUGGCGGUGCUUUAGACCCCCUAGAGGAGCCUGUUCUAGAACCGAUAACCCCCGUUCAACCUCACCCCCUCUUGUUCUCCCCGCCUAUAUACCGCCGUCGUCAGCUUACCCUGUGAAGGACUAAUAGUGAGCAUAAUUGGCACAGCCCAAAACGUCAGGUCGAGGUGUAGCGUAUGAGGGGGGAAGAAAUGGGCUACAUUCACUGACCCAGUGAAAACGGACGAUGCCUUGAAACACUUAUCUGAAGGAGGAUUUAGCAGUAAGAGGGCACUAGAGCACCCCUCUGAAACCGGCCCUGAAGCGCGCACACACCGCCCGUCACUCUCCCCAAGUGCAAAACUACUAGUAAAUAAACAAAUAAACAAACAAAGGGGAGGCAAGUCGUAACAUGGUAAGUGUACCGGAAGGUGCACUUGGACAAAC